This 406-nucleotide ribosomal RNA is filed under the name uncultured bacterium. RNAcentral's name for it is "partial 16S ribosomal RNA". It matches the Rfam family "Bacterial small subunit ribosomal RNA", at positions 30 to 526 of the family's 1533-position model. The record is from RNAcentral.
AUUGAACGCUGGCGGCAGGCUUAACACAUGCAAGUCGAGCGAGCGGCGGACGGGUGAGUAAUGUCUGGGAAACUGCCUGAUGGAGGGGGAUAACUACUGGAAACGGUAGCUAAUAACGCAUACCAUCAGAUGUGCCCCGAUGUGAGUAGCUAGUAGGUGGGGUAAUGGCUCACCUAGGCGACGAUCCCUAUCUGGUCUGAGAGGAGGACCAGCCACACUGGAACUGAGCCACUGUCCAGACUCCUAUGGGAGGAAGCAGUGGGGAAUAUUGCACAAUGGGCUCAAGCCUGAUGUAGCCACGACGCGUGUGUGAAGAAGGCCUUCGGGUUGUAAAGCACUUUCAGCGAGGAGGCGUUACUCGCAGAAGAAGCACCGGCUAACUCCGUGCCAGCAGCCGCGGUAAUAC